CUUUUAAAAUUGAAGAGUUUGAUCAUGGCUCAGAUUGAACGCUGGCGGCAGGCCUAACACAUGCAAGUCGAACGGUAACAGGAAACAGCUUGCUGUUUCGCUGACGAGUGGCGGACGGGUGAGUAAUGUCUGGGAAACUGCCUGAUGGAGGGGGAUAACUACUGGAAACGGUAGCUAAUACCGCAUAACGUCGCAAGACCAAAGAGGGGGACCUUCGGGCCUCUUGCCAUCGGAUGUGCCCAGAUGGGAUUAGCUAGUAGGUGGGGUAACGGCUCACCUAGGCGACGAUCCCUAGCUGGUCUGAGAGGAUGACCAGCCACACUGGAACUGAGACACGGUCCAGACUCCUACGGGAGGCAGCAGUGGGGAAUAUUGCACAAUGGGCGCAAGCCUGAUGCAGCCAUGCCGCGUGUAUGAAGAAGGCCUUCGGGUUGUAAAGUACUUUCAGCGGGGAGGAAGGGAGUAAAGUUAAUACCUUUGCUCAUUGACGUUACCCGCAGAAGAAGCACCGGCUAACUCCGUGCCAGCAGCCGCGGUAAUACGGAGGGUGCAAGCGUUAAUCGGAAUUACUGGGCGUAAAGCGCACGCAGGCGGUUUGUUAAGUCAGAUGUGAAAUCCCCGGGCUCAACCUGGGAACUGCAUCUGAUACUGGCAAGCUUGAGUCUCGUAGAGGGGGGUAGAAUUCCAGGUGUAGCGGUGAAAUGCGUAGAGAUCUGGAGGAAUACCGGUGGCGAAC
Molecule: ribosomal RNA, 736 nt
Filed under: Escherichia coli MS 119-7
Lineage: Bacteria; Pseudomonadati; Pseudomonadota; Gammaproteobacteria; Enterobacterales; Enterobacteriaceae
Description: bacterial SSU rRNA
Rfam family: Bacterial small subunit ribosomal RNA
Source: RNAcentral